GGUGCUGUGGCGCAGUGGGUUAACGCACUGGCCUGAAGCACCGGCAUCCUAUACGGGUGCUGGUUCUAGUCCAGGCUGCUCCU
This 83-nucleotide transfer RNA is filed under the name Oryctolagus cuniculus (rabbit). It matches the Rfam family "tRNA". From Rfam's summary of the family: Transfer RNA (tRNA) molecules are approximately 80 nucleotides in length. Their secondary structure includes four short double-helical elements and three loops (D, anti-codon, and T loops). The record is from Rfam by way of RNAcentral. Lineage: Eukaryota; Metazoa; Chordata; Mammalia; Lagomorpha; Leporidae.